RNAcentral lists this ribosomal RNA (1169 nucleotides) under Klebsiella quasipneumoniae. RNAcentral's name for it is "partial 23S ribosomal RNA". It matches the Rfam family "Bacterial large subunit ribosomal RNA", at positions 1 to 1212 of the family's 2925-position model. The record is from RNAcentral. Lineage: Bacteria; Pseudomonadati; Pseudomonadota; Gammaproteobacteria; Enterobacterales; Enterobacteriaceae.
GGUUAAGCGACUAAGCGUACACGGUGGAUGCCCUGGCAGUCAGAGGCGAUGAAGGACGUGCUAAUCUGCGAAAAGCGUCGGUAAGGUGAUAUGAACCGUUAUAACCGGCGAUGUCCGAAUGGGGAAACCCAGUGUGAUUCGUCACACUAUCGUUAACUGAAUACAUAGGUUAACGAGGCGAACCGGGGGAACUGAAACAUCUAAGUACCCCGAGGAAAAGAAAUCAACCGAGAUUCCCCCAGUAGCGGCGAGCGAACGGGGAGCAGCCCAGAGUCUGAAUCAGCUUGUGUGUUAGUGGAACGGUCUGGAAAGUCCGACGGUACAGGGUGAUAGUCCCGUACACCAAAAUGCACAGGCUGUGAACUCGAAGAGUAGGGCGGGACACGUGGUAUCCUGUCUGAAUAUGGGGGGACCAUCCUCCAAGGCUAAAUACUCCUGACUGACCGAUAGUGAACCAGUACCGUGAGGGAAAGGCGAAAAGAACCCCGGCGAGGGGAGUGAAAAAGAACCUGAAACCGUGUACGUACAAGCAGUGGGAGCACCUUUAUGGUGUGACUGCGUACCUUUUGUAUAAUGGGUCAGCGACUUAUAUUCUGUAGCAAGGUUAACCGUAUAGGGGAGCCGCAGGGAAACCGAGUCUUAACUGGGCGUUAAGUUGCAGGGUAUAGACCCGAAACCCGGUGAUCUAGCCAUGGGCAGGUUGAAGGUUGGGUAACACUAACUGGAGGACCGAACCGACUAAUGUUGAAAAAUUAGCGGAUGACUUGUGGCUGGGGGUGAAAGGCCAAUCAAACCGGGAGAUAGCUGGUUCUCCCCGAAAGCUAUUUAGGUAGCGCCUCGUGAACUCAUCUUCGGGGGUAGAGCACUGUUUCGGCUAGGGGGUCAUCCCGACUUACCAACCCGAUGCAAACUACGAAUACCGAAGAAUGUUAUCACGGGAGACACACGGCGGGUGCUAACGUCCGUCGUGAAGAGGGAAACAACCCAGACCGCCAGCUAAGGUCCCAAAGUCAUGGUUAAGUGGGAAACGAUGUGGGAAGGCACAGACAGCCAGGAUGUUGGCUUAGAAGCAGCCAUCAUUUAAAGAAAGCGUAAUAGCUCACUGGUCGAGUCGGCCUGCGCGGAAGAUGUAACGGGGCUAAACCAUGCACCGAAGCUGCGGCAGCGAC